This 365-nucleotide long non-coding RNA is filed under the name Neogobius melanostomus (round goby). Its description in RNAcentral is "lncRNA (ENSNMLG00000018587.1)". The record is from RNAcentral. Lineage: Eukaryota; Metazoa; Chordata; Actinopteri; Gobiiformes; Gobiidae.
CCCCAAACGAGAAACAACUCCGAAACUGAGCAGUAGCAGCCUAUCUGAAACUUGCAUGUCUGUCAGCUGUGAUCAUGUGAGCGGUCAGCUGAUCAGCCACCACACAUCCUGAUCCGCUGCUACUGUUUACAAUCGCACAGAGCAAACCGCCUCGACAUGAUGAGCAGCCCUGCCUGAUCUGUGACAGGUCCUGGUUGCUUCCUGUUCCCUCGGCCCCGGGUUCGCUGCCUCUCCUCUGGCCCCUUGUCUCUGGAGCAUGUGACUGGCUGGCUGUGGAGGCUCUGGGCUCUGGCUGUCAACUCCAGCAGAGACAUAAUUGUUCCUUUAUCUGCGCGCUGGCUGAGAGUCACAAGGCUGUCACAGUG